CACCAAUGGAUGGUACUGCUCUGGCUGGGGUUCACUUUCUGGUGAGCCGGUAUGCUCUUCACUGGGUGUGCCGAGGAACCAGGACUUUUACUUUGAAAAAAUUAGAGUGUUUAAAGCAGGCCUAUGCUUGAAUACAUUAGCAUGGAAUAAUAGAAUAGGACUUUGGUUCUAUUUUGUUGGUUUCUAGGACCGAAGUAAUGAUUAAUAGGGAUAGUUGGGGGCAUUAGUAUUUAGUAGCUAGAGGUGAAAUUCUUGGAUUUAUGAAAGACUAACUUCUGCGAAAGCAUUUGCCAAGGAUGUUUUCAUUAAUCAAGAACGAAAGUUAGGGGAUCGAAGACGAUCAGAUACCGUCGUAGUCUUAACCAUAAACUAUGCCGACUAGGGAUCAGACGAUGUUACUUUACUGACUCGUUUGGCACCUUAUGAGAAAUCAAAGUUUUUGGGUUCCGGGGGGAGUAUGGUCGCAAGGCUGAAACUUAAAGGAAUUGACGGAAGGGCACCACCAGGAGUGGAGCCUGCGGCUUAAUUUGACUCAACACGGGGAAACUCACCAGGUCCAGACAUAGUAAGGAUUGACAGAUUGAGAGCUCUUUCUUGAUUCUAUGGGUGGUGGUGCAUGGCCGUUCUUAGUUGGUGGAGUGAUUUGUCUGCUUAAUUGCGUUAACGAACGAGACCUUAACCUGCUAAAUAGUUAUGCCAACUUUUGUUGGUAGUCAACUUCUUAGAGGGACUGUCGGCGAUUAGCCGAUGGAAGUUUUAGGCAAUAACAGGUCUGUUAUGCCCUUAGAUGUCCUGGGCCGCACGCGCGCUACACUGAUGA
RNAcentral lists this ribosomal RNA (820 nucleotides) under uncultured Densosporaceae. Its description in RNAcentral is "SSU rRNA". It matches the Rfam family "Eukaryotic small subunit ribosomal RNA", at positions 665 to 1509 of the family's 1831-position model. Lineage: Eukaryota; Fungi; Mucoromycota; Endogonomycetes; Endogonales; Densosporaceae. The record is from RNAcentral.